Molecule: non-coding RNA, 655 nt
Organism: Arachis ipaensis
Lineage: Eukaryota; Viridiplantae; Streptophyta; Magnoliopsida; Fabales; Fabaceae
Source: RefSeq, a predicted model, not a curated record
AAAACAUUAAAAGAUUUCAAGAAGAAAUAUACUGUCUCCCUCCUAAUAUUGUGAACAUGGCCAUUAGAAAUCAUCCAGAUGGAAAAUUCUUACAGCCUAAAACCAAAAAGCCAUUUAGGGUCGAAGACUAGCCAAUGUUUAUACCCUUCUUGGACCUCAAAAAAUUAGCAUCACAUCCAUAUAUUUUUGCACCUGUCUGCUAUUCAGAGCAUUGGUGGAUAUGGUGGCUGAUGCAAGAAAGAGAAAAUUUUAUAUACUUGACCCGUAUCACAAGACAUGUCCCUCUGAAGCCAGAAUGAAGCUAAAUAAAUUCGUUGGAUAUGUAAUUUCGAGAAUGAUGGUAUAUGUUGGGGGCACCUCUCAGGAAAAAGGAUAACGAAAUUGAACCACCAUAUAUUAACAUAUCAGGCUAAAAAACAAGGAGGAGGUGUAUCACUUUAGAGUAGAAUUUGCUUCCCGAAUUCUAUUCCAUGAAAUGAAUCAAGACAGAGGUGAAGCCAUUAGGGGAAGUGAUGCAGAAAGCUUGUCCAAGCCAUCCUCAUUGUUGUUGACUCCAUAUUUUCAGAUAGAUUCUUAUGAUAUUGACAGUGAUUAAUCUAAGUGUUAUGUAUUAUUGGAAUAGUUUGAACACUUGUUGUAAAAUUCUGCGAAUAUA